AGUGAACGCUGGCGGUAGGCCUAACACAUGCCAGUCGAACGGCAGCACAGUAAGAGCUUGCUCUUACGGGUGGCGAGUGGCGGACGGGUGAGGAAUACAUCGGAAUCUACUUUUUCGUGGGGGAUAACGUAGGGAAACUUACGCUAAUACCGCAUACGACCUACGGGUGAAAGCAGGGGAUCUUCGGACCUUGCGCGAUUGAAUGAGCCGAUGUCGGAUUAGCUAGUUGGCGGGGUAAAGGCCCACCAAGGCGACGAUCCGUAGCUGGUCUGAGAGGAUGAUCAGCCACACUGGAACUGAGACACGGUCCAGACUCCUACGGGAGGCAGCAGUGGGGAAUAUUGGACAAUGGGCGCAAGCCUGAUCCAGCCAUACCGCGUGGGUGAAGAAGACCUUCGGGUUGUAAAGCCCUUUUGUUGGGAAAGAAAAGCAGCAGGUUAAUACCCCGCUGUUCUGACGGUACCCAAAGAAUAAGCACCGGCUAACUUCGUG
RNAcentral lists this ribosomal RNA (492 nucleotides) under uncultured bacterium. RNAcentral describes it as "partial 16S ribosomal RNA". It matches the Rfam family "Bacterial small subunit ribosomal RNA", at positions 29 to 507 of the family's 1533-position model. The record is from RNAcentral.